UCUAGAGGAACACGCACCUUCCGACAUGGGCAGGACCUUUUUCUUAGUUUUUCUUCUUGUCUGCUGCAUGGCAUUCACUGCUGAAGCCUUCUGGGGCACAACUUGUCCCUGGGGUACCUGGCCGACUGGAGCCAGUUGUCACAUCUGGCAAGGAUGCAAAUUCGGCUUCUGUUACGCUCCAUUUGGAAAGUGGGGCAUUUGUUGUAGGAAGCGCGGAAUUUACUGAGUCCUCCAGGCAUCGGUGACUUGUUUAACUAUUGUUGAAGAGUGAAAAAAUAAAAGAACAUUGCUAUGCA
Molecule: long non-coding RNA, 296 nt
Organism: Saccostrea echinata
Lineage: Eukaryota; Metazoa; Mollusca; Bivalvia; Ostreida; Ostreidae
Exons: 3
Source: RefSeq, a predicted model, not a curated record